UACAAUAAAGCUCUAAAACC
This 20-nucleotide non-coding RNA is filed under the name Mus musculus (house mouse). Lineage: Eukaryota; Metazoa; Chordata; Mammalia; Rodentia; Muridae. The record is from RNAcentral.